This 472-nucleotide ribosomal RNA is filed under the name uncultured bacterium. Its description in RNAcentral is "bacterial SSU rRNA". It matches the Rfam family "Bacterial small subunit ribosomal RNA", at positions 355 to 825 of the family's 1533-position model. The record is from RNAcentral.
UGGGGAAUAUUGGACAAUGGGCGAAAGCCUGAUCCAGCCAUGCCGCGUGUGUGAAGAAGGUCUUCGGAUUGUAAAGCACUUUAAGUUGGGAGGAAGGGCAGUUACCUAAUACGUAUCUGUUUUGACGUUACCGACAGAAUAAGCACCGGCUAACUCUGUGCCAGCAGCCGCGGUAAUACAGAGUGUGCAAGCGUUAAUCGGAAUUACUGGGCGUAAAGCGCGCGUAGGUGGUUUGUUAAGUUGGAUGUGAAAUCCCCGGGCUCAACCUGGGAACUGCAUUCAAAACUGACAAGCUAGAGUAUGGUAGAGGGUGGUGGAAUUUCCUGUGUAGCGGUGAAAUGCGUAGAUAUAGGAAGGAACACCAGUGGCGAAGGCGACCACCUGGACUGAUACUGACACUGAGGUGCGAAAGCGUGGGGAGCAAACAGGAUUAGAUACCCACGUAGUCCCUGAGCGGGCUGGCAAGGCGCAU